This is a long non-coding RNA of Carassius auratus (goldfish), 355 nucleotides long. RefSeq lists it as uncharacterized. The record is from RefSeq and is a predicted model, not a curated record. The transcript is spliced from 3 exons. NCBI's taxonomy places the organism in Eukaryota, Metazoa, Chordata, Actinopteri, Cypriniformes, Cyprinidae.
GUCAGUAUGGGUCCGUGGACAGGAGAGGCAGCCUGCAGAGAAGGGAUUCUGGAAGUCCCUGGUCCUGGAAGCCUCUGAACACUCGAGAGGUCACUGAAGUCACAGAGGUGACAGAGACGAUUGUUACAGAGAUUGUAGAGGUGACAGAGUAUCCUUCUUCAGGGAAAGGAGGUGACCCUAUUGUUACUAGAACUGUUAGAGUCCUUACUGGAGCUGCUGGGGAACUUGCAGAGGUGCAGAGUGAUGGUCAAUCGAGUUCAGACCAGGAAUCAAGUCUAGAUCAAUGGAAGGAUGGCAGAAGUGUUGUGACUCUGAAAGAUGAGUUCAGGGAUCCGUUGAAAUUCCAGCAAAAUCU